GAUUUUUUAGAACUGAGCCACCCUCAACCCAUUCAAGUAACAGAAGGAAAAUCAGGGGCUCGGGAAAAGAAUAUAGCCCAUUCAAAGUCCUGCCAUGGCUGAAGUGUAACCAGGAAGAACUCUUGGAUGAUCUGCCUCCAACAAGAACCAGAAAGGACUUUGGGCAAUUUA
Long non-coding RNA from Bubalus bubalis (water buffalo), 171 nucleotides. RefSeq lists it as uncharacterized. Lineage: Eukaryota; Metazoa; Chordata; Mammalia; Artiodactyla; Bovidae. The record is from RefSeq and is a predicted model, not a curated record. The transcript has 2 exons.